RNAcentral lists this ribosomal RNA (406 nucleotides) under uncultured bacterium. Its description in RNAcentral is "partial 16S ribosomal RNA". It matches the Rfam family "Bacterial small subunit ribosomal RNA", at positions 30 to 526 of the family's 1533-position model. The record is from RNAcentral.
AUUGAACGCUGGCGGCAGGCCUAACACAUGCAAGUCGAACGAGAGGCUGAAGGGUGAGUAAUGUCUGGGACACUGCCUGCUGGAGGGGGAUAACUACUGGAAACGGUAGCUAAUACCGCAUACCAUCAUAUGUUCCCAUAUGGGUUUAGCUAGUUGGUGGGGUAACGGCGCAUCAAGGCGACGAUCCCUAGCUGGUCUGAGAGGAUGACCGGCCACACUGGAACUGAGACACGGUCCAGACUACUACGGGAGGCAGCAGUGGGGAAUAUUGCACAAUGGGCGCAAGCCUGAUGCAGCCAUGACGCGGGUAUGAAGAAGGCCUUCGGGUUGUAAAGUACUUUCAGAGGGGAGGCGUUACCCGCAGAAGAAGCACCGGCUAACUCCGUGCCAGCAGGCGCGGUAAUUC